CACGUAGGAGGCAAACGUUAUCCGGAUUUACUGGGCGUAAAGCGCGUGUAGGUGGUUCUGUAAGUAGGGCGUGAAAGCUCCCGGCUCAACUGGGAGAGGCCGUUCUAAACUGCAGAGCUAGAGGAUGGUAGAGGGAGGUGGAAUUCCAGGUGUAGCGGUGGAAUGCGCAGAUAUCUGGAGGAACACCAGUGGCGAAGGCGGCCUCCUGGACCAUUCCUGACACUCAGACGCGAAAGCUAGGGCAGCAAACGGGAUUAGAUACCCUGGUA
Molecule: ribosomal RNA, 269 nt
Filed under: uncultured prokaryote
Description: partial 16S ribosomal RNA
Rfam family: Bacterial small subunit ribosomal RNA
Source: RNAcentral